AGUGCUGGGAUUAAAGGUGUGCGCCACCACUGCCCGGCUUCUCUUCCCUCUUCUAAUUAACUACUCAGCUAAUUGUCACAGGAUCACCAUAUACCAUCAAGUACACCCAGGCGGUGAGGAACAGUAACGGUCCAAAGCUCAAGAUUUUAAAUUUCCUAUGGCUGCUUCUUAAUAUGUUUAAAAAUUCUUCCAAGCUCCGGAAUCAACUUGAAUCCAUCUGGACAGCACUCAGACUCAAGCAGCCAGAGUCCCAAGCCAAGGAAGAUGGACAGCUCCAAGGCAGCGGACAACAGCCCACCAUCCCAGGAUGCCUGGCCACCUCAGAAGCCCCCUUUCCUACCCCCAAGAGUUAGCUGACACCCACGGAGUCAGCUGGAAGCAGUUUUGGGAGACAGCUCCCCCAUUCCUGUUCACCCACCUUUUUAUAAUAAGAAAAGAGUGUGGAAUGUUGGGAUUCCUGGCCACUCCUCCAGUUACAGGACCGCACAUGCGCAGUUCAGUAGCCAAGCAUGGGGGGGCCUUACAUCCUACGUAAUGUGCAGGGGAAUCCACAAGAGGCGGGACACAGACCCCUCCUCUCUUCUCCUCCCCGCCUUCUCUCUGCAGGCCUGGUCAGGCUCGCUUCUGUCCCUCUUCUCCUAAUAAAACUCUGCUUUGAUAGUGAGUUU
Non-coding RNA from Peromyscus maniculatus bairdii (prairie deer mouse), 668 nucleotides. The record is from RefSeq and is a predicted model, not a curated record. Lineage: Eukaryota; Metazoa; Chordata; Mammalia; Rodentia; Cricetidae.